AUUCUUUGAGGUGGUAAAUUUCGUGUCAACCACACGCCGCCGGUAUGGACAGGGGAAAACCGAGAGAUGCAGGGGAAUGGCACGCCUACCCAAAAAU
This 97-nucleotide non-coding RNA is filed under the name unclassified sequences. The record is from Rfam.